AUUUUGUAUUGUGAUAUCACCACCUUGUGUUACUAGUUGGAAAUCUUUUUUUUGUGCUUUAAACAGCUACUAGCUAAGUAUGAACAUCAAAUGCAAAUGCUUAAAGAAGUGAAUCUGAAAUUGGAGAAAAAGAAAAAAGUUCUAGACGAUCAAAUAGCUAUGUUUCUUGAGAAGAAAGCUAACGCUGAGUUACUCCAGUCACAAGCAUCUAUUUCUACACCUGCUGUUAGUUUGAAGAAAGGCAAGGACCACAAAAAGAACCAAGGUUUUCGACUUGAAUUGCUGUGCUUUGAUAUCAGAGAUGAAGAAAUUGUGACUGUUCACGAACAGAGCAAGAGGGAGAAGGAGAAGUUAGAGAGGGAGAGAAAUUCACCCAGGGGAUUCCAGAAAUGACAAAUUUGAUUGCAGCACUGAGGUUUUGAAUGUAGGAUGUGUUAGUUUUAUGAAGCAGUCUGACUGCUGCUGUCCCAUAAUAUUGUAUGUGUCUUCCUAGUACAGAUUUUUCAGAAAGAUUGAUAAAAUUGGCUGUAAAAUUACACUGAGUGUGCAAUAUGAUCUGGUAAACAUUUCACCUCCUUUAUUUCUCCACUUCCAAAUGAAAACCUCAAAUAAAUAGUGAAAUUUCAGAAAUGUGUUCAAAAUUAGUCUCCAGAACAACAUGCCCAACUUUUUUAUAUGUAAACAUUGAAUUAAAUAUUCAUAUAUCAAAUUGUUACCCAGAAGCCAUUUGACUUAUUAAUUUCCUUUCCUGAUAAGCUACAAUUUUACUGCAGAUAACAUUUUGUUGAUUAAUAUCUUAUUGCAAUUGAAAGCAGAUUUUUUGGUACAGAAAUUGUUCAUAACUGCUACACUAUGAAAAACUUUAGAAGCUAGAUGGGUGCACAUUUUUUGGGUGUAUGCUAGCAGCCUGCUUGUGUUUUUGCCAAAAUUUAUUGCACUUCAAGUAAUAUUACUGAGUUCCUUUUCCUAAACUCUUUUUUCUGGAUUUAUAUAUGGAAGUGGAAUUCUUGGUAGUAGAAGUCAUUAUCUGCACUAUCACGAG
RNAcentral lists this long non-coding RNA (1042 nucleotides) under Strigops habroptila (Kakapo). Its description in RNAcentral is "lncRNA (ENSSHBG00005004482.1)". The record is from RNAcentral. Lineage: Eukaryota; Metazoa; Chordata; Aves; Psittaciformes; Psittacidae.